AGCAGCCGCGGUAAUUCCAGCUCCAAUAGCGUAUGUUAAAGUUGUUGCAGUUAAAAAGCUCGUAGUUGAAUUUCGGGGUUAGUAGGUCGGUCAUGCCACUGGUAUGUACUGGUCUCACUGAUUCCUCCUUCCUGAUGAACCGUAAUGCCAUUAAUUUGGUGUUGCGGGGAGACUGGACUGUUACUUUGAAAAAAUUAGAGUGUUUAAAGCAGGCUAACGCUUGAAUACAUUAGCAUGGAAUAAUGAAAUAGGACGUUCGAUCCUAUUUUGUUGGUUUCUAGGAUUGACGUAAUGAUUAAUAGGGAUAGUUGGGGGCAUUAGUAUUCAAUUGUCAGAGGUGAAAUUCUUGGAUUUAUUGAAGACUAACUACUGCGAAAGCAUUUGCCAAGGAUGUUUUCAUUAAUCAAGAACGAAAGUUAGGGGAUCGAAGACGAUCAGAUACCGUCGUAG
Molecule: ribosomal RNA, 450 nt
Filed under: uncultured Glomeromycotina
Lineage: Eukaryota; Fungi; Glomeromycota
Description: SSU rRNA
Rfam family: Eukaryotic small subunit ribosomal RNA
Source: RNAcentral